ACGUCUGAUUGUCCUCCCAGGAGGGAGGGCGGGCUGAGGUGGGCGGCCAGUCGACCUUUACCUUUCUUGGCUCGUCCUGUUGGGGCAUGCUUUUCCCGCUUUUCCUGCUGGUCAGGAGGAGACAGGGGCUAAAAAACCUGACAAUUCUCCAUGGACUGAAGUUUUGACUUGGCAUGAGGGCUUCCUAUGGAAAAGAGGCUUGCUGAGUUUGAAGCUUGGAGCUUGAAGAGCAUGGCACCAACAUCUGUUCAGGACCUCCUUGCUGUUCACAAUAUGGCAUCAUGGCUAGCACAUGAAAGAAAUUGUUGGCCUGUAUUUAAUCAAAAAGAAGGGCUAAGAAGAACCUUCACAUGCAGUUCACAUCAACCCUGGGGCAACUGAAAGGUCAGGAUGACCUAUUAUGGCAGAGAAAAGGAAAAAAUUAAUGGGACAAAAACACACCGUAUGAAAUUCAGAAGUUUCUGACUAUACACUCUUUGUUUAAUGGACUCAUAUUCAUCAGCCAGAGAUGUCACCAACACCUGUUGGUGGUCACCCAGAGGGGAGAUGCCAUUUCCAGGAUGAUUCACAAAGUUGUUAGGUGACAACAAAUAUCAUAUAGUAAAGACAUGAUUUUGUAAGUAAUUUAUGUAGGGUAUUCUGGUUAUUGUAGAUGUUAAAGAAUCUUGUCAAAUUUGAAGGACUUUUUUAAAUUAUGAAAAUAAAACAUUACCUGAAAUUACUUCUUUCUGACAGAAUUAUUUUGAUUUAUUGAAAACAAAAUUUUGGUGCAGGCAGUGAAAAAAAUGUAUAUCUAUGUUACAUUGUGUCUUCCCAAGCAUUUGAAAAAGUCAUUCAUAUUUAUUGAUAUAUUGUUUUCCUUAAAAAAUGGUACUAUUUCAUAGUUCUGCAAAAAC
Molecule: long non-coding RNA, 896 nt
Organism: Marmota monax (woodchuck)
Lineage: Eukaryota; Metazoa; Chordata; Mammalia; Rodentia; Sciuridae
Exons: 4
Source: RefSeq, a predicted model, not a curated record